RNAcentral lists this ribosomal RNA (429 nucleotides) under bacterium. RNAcentral's name for it is "partial 16S ribosomal RNA". It matches the Rfam family "Bacterial small subunit ribosomal RNA", at positions 355 to 776 of the family's 1533-position model. The record is from RNAcentral.
UAGGGAAUCUUCCACAAUGGACGCAAGUCUGAUGGAGCAACGCCGCGUGAGUGAAGAAGGUUUUCGGAUCGUAAAGCUCUGUUGUUGGUGAAGAAGGAUAGAGGCAGUAACUGGUCUUUAUUUGACGGUAAUCAACCAGAAAGUCACGGCUAACUACGUGCCAGCAGCCGCGGUAAUACGUAGGUGGCAAGCGUUGUCCGGAUUUAUUGGGCGUAAAGCGAGCGCAGGCGGAAUGAUAAGUCUGAUGUGAAAGCCCACGGCUCAACCGUGGAACUGCAUCGGAAACUGUCAUUCUUGAGUGCAGAAGAGGAGAGUGGAAUUCCAUGUGUAGCGGUGGAAUGCGUAGAUAUAUGGAAGAACACCAGUGGCGAAGGCGGCUCUCAGGUCUGCAACUGACGCUGAGGCUCGAAAGCAUGGGUAGCGAACAGG